RNAcentral lists this long non-coding RNA (1007 nucleotides) under Junco hyemalis (dark-eyed junco). RNAcentral describes it as "lncRNA (ENSJHYG00000007764.1)". Lineage: Eukaryota; Metazoa; Chordata; Aves; Passeriformes; Passerellidae. The record is from RNAcentral.
GAGAUAGGGAACCCCACCCCACCCAACAGCUAUUUGUGCUCACAGCUCACUGUUGUGUACAGAGGUGGAGUAAAUUCCUCUGCCCCAGGCACACAUCUCUCAUACUUAAUCCACUCUCUUGUCUGGGCAAAGAUGUAUUUUGACCUUCCUCUGUCCUUCCAUAGCUGUCUGUGACAGCAUACAUGAAAGAGAAGAUUUGGGCACAGAUGGCUUGUACAGGCUGUGGUCCCUGACCCCAUCCAGCCAUCCCUUCCCCCCGGUGAAGGGUCAAAGGAGGGGCUGAAGGAAGUUAUUGGAGAGGCUCAUGUUGGACAGACAGACACAAUCAUACGUCCCCAGUGUUGAACCUGCAAACUAUUUCAGAUUCUGUGCCAGGCUGCUGUCCAACCGCAUAGCAUGACAAGACUGGGGUACAUCCCACGCUCCCUGUGCUGCUGACGUGGGAAGGAAGUUCAGGAGUGGAGUCUCAAGGGCUGUGGUCUGCAGUGGGACGAGACGCCUGCUGGUGAACUGCUGGGAGCACCAAACCUCGGAUCAAGAAGCUUGUAGACAAAGGUCAAUCCUGCCAGAUGCUCGGGACCCCUGAUUCACUCAGGCUGAAGACCCUUCUCCUCUCGUCUGAUGCUCAGCACCUUGACCAGCACAGGCUUUCUGCACAGUUUUUGUCUAAGCACCAGGUUGAUGAGUGCAUUGAGAAUCGUCAGGAACUCACAAGUCUGAAGGAACCUCAGAUCCAUCUGCUGGACUAUUUGCUCCAUGACUCACAGGAGAGUGAAAAGUUGAAUUACCAGCCCUUCCCUUUAAGAGGACAGAUAACACUUGCAAAGCAUCUGAAGAUUGAUCCCUCCCAGAACCAGAUCCUGCAGCUGGCUUCCACAAUGAUAGCAAUUCCCUGCAGGAUACAUAUAUAAUCUAAUUGUUAAAAGGCUUCACUUAUCUACUGGCCAGAUUUUGUUUUUUUAUUGGUAGUAAAUAAAACACGAUAUCAGAACUGAGAGCCUUUGAAA